AUAAAUUUGGAAUUGUAUGAGUAGGGGAGUGUACAAGUUUGCGUGCAUGUGUAUGUACGUGCAUAUGUAUAUAUGAUUUGGGAUUGCUGUAAUUUCUAAAUGGUAUAAUAAAGUGAUAAUGCCUUGUAAAAUCUAAAGUGGCAUUUAAUUCUACUUCAUCAUGAUACACUCUUACAGAGAACACACAAUUUAAAAGUUUAAAAAGUAAAGCAGUGCUUUAAGGAUAUGAAAAGGCAGACCAUGAAUUUGUAAGAAAGCAAGAGGGGAAUAUGGGAGGUUUGGGGGGAAUAAACGAAAGGAGAAAUGAUGUAAUUAAAUUAUAAUUUUAAAAAAAGAUAUAAGACACAUUAGCUCCUUAGAACUUCAGUGUACAUUCAAGGGCAUGAAAUAUCAAAGAAGAUUCAUACUUACUUAGUCAGAUGGAAUGCCUCCUAUAGAGUUGAGUCAAUUUCAGACCUUUUGAAUUUCUAAAAUGACAUUUUUUUGCUUAAAUUGGGACUGUUUUAAGGAAAACUAUGUUUGGCAUUUUAGUUUCAGAUUGGGAACUUCCGAAUGAAGCUGAUUAUUUUCCUUAAUGUAAAGCUUUUCUUUUGCCCAUAUGAAUGCCCCAAAUUCUAAUCAGAGGUUACACUGUCCAGACAGUUCCCACAAUAUAAUGUUCAUUUCUGUCAACAAUUCUCAUGCAGACUGCUCUUCAAAGGACAACAAUGAAUUAAGUCAAUAAAACUUUGACUAAUUUAUGGCUACAAGUAAAAUCUUUAUAAAUUUAUAUGUAUGCAUAUUUCUAUAAUUAGAACUUGUGAAAUCCAUACAGAUUCCAGUAAAGCUUGCUUAUUAUGUGUCUGUAUUUGUUACAUUUCUGUUGUUGGGGCAAAAGCAAAAAUAGCAACAACAGCAACAACAAACACUUGACCAAAAGCAACCCAGAAGAAGGGUUUCUCUCGGUUUCUUGUUCCAGAUGGAUAAGAGUCCAUCAUGGGGGAGAAGCAUGGCAGUGUGUAUCAGGCCUAGCAGCAGGAAGGAGAAGCUGAGAGCCACAUCUCAACCAUGAGAACAAAGCAGAGAGAGCAAACAAAAAGUGACAGGGAGCUUUUAAUCUCAAAGCCUGUCCUCCAGUGAUGUACUUCCUCCAACAAGGCUACACCUGCACCUCCCAAAACAGGGCUACCAACUAGAAACAGAGUGUUCAAAUGAAUGAGACUGAGGUAGCAUCUCUCUUUCAAGCCAUGAUAUCAUCCUGACUUGUACAAUACAUUAUUGAUAUUUCUUUCAAAAGCUUGAUAGCAGGCAACCAUAACUACUUUGAGGUCAAGACUCCUCCAUGCCAGUGAUAGCAUUUCACAGCCUUCCCUCCUAUCUCCUUGUUCUUACUUCUUUUCAAACCCUCUUGAUGAUGACCUAUGAGCCCUAGAAGGGAUGACGUGAGUAUACUGUUGUGAUUCAUUAUCACUUACUCUCAGCAUGUAGAGCAGACACGUCUUUACAUUUAUUGCAAACAGACUUCUUCCAUGAGUUUUAAAAAAACAAAAACAAAAACAAAGGAACAAAAAGACAUGAAUGUGGGAAAGAAACUAGUGGGGAGAUGUUAAACUAGUAUUAGAGGUAGGAGAGACAUUAGAGAAGAAGGGCACUAUUGGAGUCAGAUUGUACUUUACACAAAUAAGAAAAUUUCCAAGAUGAAACUCAAUAAAAGUUAUAAAAAUUGAUAGCCUUUGUUUUGAGAAGGAAACAUAUAGAAGCAGACCUAAAAUUUUAUAUAGAAUACCCAAGGAAUAAACAAUCUUCUCAAAACAGCUCAAGUAUGAGUAUACAGAGGUCCAAGACCUCUGAAUAUUCUCUCUAGCCAUCUUUAAAACUCCUUCACACAAGCAGAAACUGAGGCCAAAAUAUCAAUGAAGUCAUAGAUGCCAGAAGAGAAAUAAUAGAGCAUACUGAGCUAUGUAGCAAGUUGAAAGCCCACAAGCCAUCUACUUUCAUUGAGUCAAUUGAAAACAGAUAAGAAAGAAAGCCAGGGCUUUUCAUUUCCUGUCAAAAGGAAUUUAAAAUAUUCAUUGUCUUUAAUUUUAAAUAGUGACAAAAUUAUUUAAAUUAUUAACAAAAUGUUGGACUAGCCAGAAAAAACCUAAUAGUUGUUCACUUUUGAUUAUACAUUGAGAUUUUUGUCUCUCUGUCAAACAUAUUUCAUAUGUUUUCUGAUGGUGUCAUAAAUACCACAAAUAUUCCUUAAGUGUGGCCCAUCCAAAACCCUUGCCCAAGCUCUCUAAAAUGCACACAGGUGAGAGUAAGAAUGUUUGACAGCUCUGAAUUAAAUAAGCACUCUUAAAAUAAAAUACAGAUGAAAAAUGUUUCUGGAGAAAGCACUUAAUAGU
Molecule: long non-coding RNA, 2369 nt
Filed under: Mus musculus (house mouse)
Lineage: Eukaryota; Metazoa; Chordata; Mammalia; Rodentia; Muridae
Description: long non-coding RNA chr2:96718459-96720828
Source: RNAcentral